GCAUCAGCAGUGUAACGGAUAGAGCACUCGCUCCUGUAAAGAGUGAGGUGCGGGUUCUAGUCCCGCCCGACGCG
Parelaphostrongylus tenuis is the source of this 74-nucleotide non-coding RNA. Lineage: Eukaryota; Metazoa; Nematoda; Chromadorea; Rhabditida; Metastrongylidae. The record is from the annotation of a GenBank genome assembly.